This 69-nucleotide transfer RNA is filed under the name Sicyonia parajaponica. RNAcentral's name for it is "tRNA-Lys". The record is from RNAcentral. Lineage: Eukaryota; Metazoa; Arthropoda; Malacostraca; Decapoda; Sicyoniidae.
CAUUGAAUGUCUGAAAGCAAGUGUAAGUCUUUUAAACUUAUAAUGGUAGUUUACGCCUACCUUCAAUGG